This 2039-nucleotide ribosomal RNA is filed under the name Fimbriaria fasciolaris. RNAcentral's name for it is "SSU rRNA". It matches the Rfam family "Eukaryotic small subunit ribosomal RNA", at positions 134 to 1759 of the family's 1831-position model. Lineage: Eukaryota; Metazoa; Platyhelminthes; Cestoda; Cyclophyllidea; Hymenolepididae. The record is from RNAcentral.
GUUUAAUGGAUAACUGUAAUAACUCUAGAGCUAAUACAUGCCACGAAGCCCUGACCCCGCUCUUUGGGUGGGGAAUGGGUGCACUUAUUAGAUCAGAAGCCAACCAGUUCAUGCGCCCGCUUCACGGUGGGUGUGUGGAUUGUAGCACUUCUGGUGACUCUGGAUAAUUGUUACAGAUCGCAGUCGGCUUUUAUGUCGGCGACGGGUCCUUCAAAUGUCUGCCCUAUCAACUAUCGAUGGUAGGUGACCUGCCUACCAUGGUGAUAACGGGUAACGGGGAAUCAGGGUUCGAUUCCGGAGAGGGAGCCUGAGAAACGGCUACCACUUCCAAGGGAGGCAGCAGGCGCGCAAAUUACCCACUCCCAGUACGGGGAGGUGGUGACGAAAAAUACCGAUGCGGGACUCAUUAACGAGGCUCCGUAAUCGGAAUGAGUGGACUCUAAAUCCUUUCACGAGGAUCAAUUGGAGGGCAAGUCUGGUGCCAGCAGCCGCGGUAACUCCAGCUCCAAUAGCGUAUAUUAAAGUUGCUGCAGUUAAAAAGCUCGUAGUUGGAUCUCGGUAGCAUUGUUGCCUGCUCGGGUAUCAGGUUAUGUGGUGUGCAUCUUAUCGGGUGUGCUUGUGUGCACUCUGCUCUCAUUGUAAUGGUGGGGGUGUGAGUUGUGCGCGGGUCCCACGGUGGGUGUACAUUAAAACUGCAUUUCCUUGAACUGGCAUGGUGAUGGUGUCACCUUUGAGCCAUGUCUGUAGUCUCUAAUGGCUGCAGGUGUAAGCGAGUGUCAGGCAGUGCUCUGCACUAGUUGUGGAGCCUAGUCGGCUCGUUUGCAUGCCGAUGGAUGCCCUUCAAAAGGUGUUCAUUGGCGGAUGGCACGUUUACUUUGAACAAAUUUGAGUGCUCAAAUCAGGCCGAUGUUGCCUGAAAAGUUUUGCAUGGAAUAAUGGAAUAGGACUUCGGUUCUAUUUCGUUGGUUUUCGGAUCCGAAGUAAUGAUCAAAAGAGACAGGCGGGGACGUUUGUAUGGCUGCGCUAGAGGUGAAAUUCAUGGACCGUAGCCAGACAAACUAAAGCGAAAGCAUUCGUCAAGCAUGUUUUCAUUGACCAUGAGCGAAAGUCAGAGGCUCGAAGACGAUCAGAUACCGUCCUAGUUCUGACCAUAAACGAUGCCAACUGACGAUCCGUAGCGAUAGUCACAGACCUAUCCUGCGGGCAGUCCCCGGGAAACCUUUAAGUCUUUGGGUUCCGGGGGAAGUAUGGUUGCAAAGCUGAAACUUAAAGGAAUUGACGGAAGGGCACCACCAGGAGUGGAGCCUGCGGCUUAAUUUGACUCAACACGGGAAAACUCACCCGGGCCGGACACUAUGAGGAUUGACAGAUUGAUAGCUCUUUCUUGAUUUGGUGGUUGGUGGUGCAUGGCCGUUCUUAGUUGGUGGAGCGAUUUGUCUGGUUAAUUCCGAUAACGAACGAGACUCCAGCCUGCUAAUUAGUGCAUUCGUCCACUGCAUCAGCCGAGCGGCGCUGUGUCAACUGCGUGAAGUCAUGUGGUAUAAUGGCGCGGGGUUUUGUUGCACGUUCGUGGCUGUACUGUUUCUGCAGUAUGGUUGCGGCGUGUGCAGGGCUUCGUUGCUUGUCUGCAUGUCACCUUCAUGCGGAUGGUGCGACGUUAGCUAGCAGGUGCGGCGCGAAUGCUCACUUCUUAGAGGGACACGCGGGAGAAGCCGCACGAAAUAGAGCAAUAACAGGUCUGUGAUGCCCUUAGAUGUCCGGGGCCGCACGCGCGCUACAAUGGCGGUGUCAACGAGUUAGACCUCCUGGCCUGAAAGGGUUGGGUAAACUGGUCAAUCACCGUCAUGACAGGGAUCGGGGCUUGGAAUUGUUCCCCGUGAACGAGGAAUUCCUAGUAAGUGCAAGUCAUAAGCUUGCGCUGAUUACGUCCCUGCCCUUUGUACACACCGCCCGUCGCUACUACCGAUUGAAUGGUUUAGUAAGGUCCUUGGAUUGGCGCCAAUUAGAUGCCAUCGAAAGGUGUGUAUCUAGCCGGUGCU